Molecule: non-coding RNA, 41 nt
Organism: Kordia algicida OT-1
Lineage: Bacteria; Pseudomonadati; Bacteroidota; Flavobacteriia; Flavobacteriales; Flavobacteriaceae
Source: Rfam
AUGGCGGAAUCCGAAAAGCCUUUAUAAAAACAGAGUAGGAA